Long non-coding RNA from Oxyura jamaicensis (ruddy duck), 402 nucleotides. RefSeq lists it as uncharacterized. The transcript is spliced from 4 exons. The record is from RefSeq and is a predicted model, not a curated record. NCBI's taxonomy places the organism in Eukaryota, Metazoa, Chordata, Aves, Anseriformes, Anatidae.
UAUCUAGAGGGAGAUUAAUGCUUUCUCAUGGGAUAUUAAUGCUUUCUUUUCCUCUUAUUUCAGCUGAAAGCAUCAGACUGAAAGGUUGAGCGAGUUUGGGAAUGGGGAGAGCAAAUAUAGAAGUUUUUAUUUGAGAUAAUUUAAAUUGACAGCUUUCACGUAGCAGAAGCUGUCUGCUAUUGCACUCUUCCCUCUGCAUCCCAAGGAUCUAAGAUAGCCAGGUGCAUCUUUUUCACCAAAAACAGACAGCAUUUUCCCCAGUAAGAACAGAGGCCUGCAUAGGUGGGUGAUUCUGGAGCCCCAGCUCAGCACUUGGAGAGCUAGAUCCCUGAUUUUGCACAGUCACAUGUAAGAACCAAGCUAUUGGACUUCCGCCAACAAGGAAGUAACACAGACUUUCAC